AAAAGAAAGCCUAAAACACACUUCACCAUUCGACCAUUCCAUAGUCACAUUCACGAGAACAAAAAUCAGAUUGACCAAACCUAAUUCCUAAAUCAUAAAUCUCACUCUCAAUCUCAAACGUUGCCUCCACACCAUAUACCAUAUUGGUCGUCGCUGCCGACUGCUGCCCCAAUUCCAUGACUGCUGACCUUUGUUGACCCAUCAUCCUCCUCCUUUGGGCUCCAACCAUCAAUCUCCAAGUCCAACCCUUGCUCCAUCAUAGCUCCAUCAGCUCCUUCUACUUCUACAGCUCAGCCUCCACAACCUCAUCAUGCUUCUAAUUCACAACCACAGGCUACAACGGUUCCUUCUGCUGCUUCUACACCAGUAGUUCCCACCUACAAAGUAAAAAAAAAAAGACAAUAUAAACUAAGAUCAACUCUAUGGAUCACUUUGAAACAAUUUCAGGAUGGAGACGAAGAAAAAAGGGCUGAGUGUAUUUUCCGCCAUACUGUUUUUUGGCCAACUGACGAAAAACUAACAUGUCCUCUUUAA
This 534-nucleotide long non-coding RNA is filed under the name Linum usitatissimum (flax). Its description in RNAcentral is "long non-coding RNA (LUSI_LNC005970)". The record is from RNAcentral. Lineage: Eukaryota; Viridiplantae; Streptophyta; Magnoliopsida; Malpighiales; Linaceae.